RNAcentral lists this ribosomal RNA (327 nucleotides) under Trechus ceballosi. RNAcentral describes it as "partial 16S ribosomal RNA". Lineage: Eukaryota; Metazoa; Arthropoda; Insecta; Coleoptera; Carabidae. The record is from RNAcentral.
UUAAAUGGCUGCAGUAAUUUGACUGUACAAAGGUAGCAUAAUCAUUAGUUUUUUAAUUAAAAGCUUGUAUGAAAGGUUGGACGAAAUAAAAUCUGUCUCUUUUUAAUAAAAUUAGAAUUUAAUUUUUAGGUUAAAAAGCUUAAAUUAAUAUAAAAGACGAGAAGACCCUAUAGAGUUUUAUAAUUUUAAUUUAAUAAUUAAUUUAGAUUUAAUAAUUUUAUUUUAUUAAAAUUAUUUUAUUGGGGUAAUAAAAAGAUUAAAUAAAUUCUUUUUUUAUAAAAUCAUUAAUUUAUGAAAUUUUAUGAUCCAUUAAAUUAUGAAUAUAAG